Castor canadensis (American beaver) is the source of this 1768-nucleotide non-coding RNA. The record is from RefSeq and is a predicted model, not a curated record. Lineage: Eukaryota; Metazoa; Chordata; Mammalia; Rodentia; Castoridae.
UGGGCUGGGUGGGUUAAGGAAAUCUCCAAACCAGCGGGGCUGGAGUGAAAUUAGAGAGCAGGAGCAGGGAAAUUACACAGGCAUCAGACAUGCAGAGUCCUGUGGGCUGUGACAAAAAGUUGGGGUUUUAAUUAAAUGUAUCCAGAAGCUUUUGGAGGUUUCUGAGCAGGAGGAAGGCAGGACUUGACCUGUUUUACAACAUCACCUGUAGUUAUUUUAUGGAGUAGAGCAAUUGGAAGACUGUUGCAGGGGGAACAUGGUGAUGACUUGGACAAGGACCGUAGUGAUGGAGGUUGCAUAAAUUUUCUAUUGCUGCCACCAUAAGUCACCACAGACUUAAUGCCUUAAACCAGCACCAAAUAGUAUCUUACAGAUCUGCAGGCCAGAGUCCCAGGUGGGCCCAGGAAGCCAAAAUCAGGGUGCCAGUAUGACACACUCCUUCCUGGAGGCCCCAGUGAGAACCUGUUUUCCUGUUCAUGUGAGCUAUUGUCAGAGUUUAGUUCCUUGUAGACCAAGGUUCUUGUUUUCAUUUUCAUAAAAUAAGGCUUUCUCCCUCUUCCAAAGGCAGUCACAUUCUGGCUCAUUGCCCCUUUUCUUCAUCUUCAAAGCCAACAACAGCAGUCCAGCCCUUCUCACACAGUACCUUUGUCUGCCGUCCUCUUCUACAUCUGGGCUUAUGUCAUUAGAGUGACCCACUCAAAUCAUCUCCCAGCACAAGAUGUAGCUGAUAGCUGAAGGAUGCCAAGAAGACAAUGGAUGAAAAGUGGGAAGAAGGGAACCAAGGUGGUACCACUUUCUGACGUGAGGAGCAGCGAGUUUGGGAAGAAAUCUAGUAUUAGUAAUGGAGUUCGGGAUCCCACUGGCAGAUUCAAUGGCUAGAUCCCGAGAAUCAAACUAAGAGAAAGAUUAACAGGAGGAAAAGGUAGCUGUAAUUCCAAGAGCAUGCAGGAGGUUGCCCCAAGAAAAAAGAGGAGACCUAAGUCACAUUCCAGCUUAGGUUAAACCCAGGAAAAGCAGUCUUGACACAGAUCCGAGGGAGCCAGCCCUCCUAGGGCCCUGGGACGAGGUGAAACUCUCUUCAGCACUGGCAAAUGUUCUUGAGACCAUUUUAGUUUUCAACAUUUCUUUAAGUCUUUAUGAUAAGCACUAUGUUUUUCUCUGUGAGUGAGUGAAGCCACAGGGACUGGGCACCCAGGCCCUUGAACGGCAGUGGACAGAGCCUUCCCCGAUGCCUGGCAGCCUUGACUGGGGAACUUCAGCCCAGCAGUCCCUUCUCUGGCAAGUGGUUUCACUGUCCUCACGGCAGCCAGGCUGUUUUGGACAGUUUACGGUCACUCUGAAAACACUCCAGUUACAAGGACCACUGCAAAUGAAGCCCUGGCUCCUGAGCCCGAGACCUUGCUCCAGUGACAACCAGUCCAGACAACCUGCACUGGCCCUGCAAGCCAAGCCUGACUGAAGUGUGGACAACCCUGCAGCUGUUCUCCCUCAGCAUGGGAGGGGGAGCACUCCUCAGUAACUCAGCAAGAGGCCAGUGAUUGGUGGAGCUGAAAGCUGUGCUGUGAUUGGUGCAAAUACAAUCCUUCAUUUGCAUGCUACCCAGAGGCCAUCCUGACUGUUCAGCUUACUUUUCUGGUUUGCUAUCCCCUCUGCCCUGUAUUGAAAUACUAAGUCCAAUAAAAGGUUUCUCCCAAAAGUCUUUUCUUGCCCACCUGUGAUCUUUACCAAAGAUAGAAUGGGCUGAGCUGGUUACAUGAGCAGGAAACAG